UUGACCUUCCAUCAUAAUGUAGGCGAUGAUUCAGAGACGAGUCGUGGGUCUUGGCAUAGUUUCGUAGGUGGGCAUAUAUUGGGUCAAGAUGACCAUGACUCACACCCACAACUAAGCCACAUACUUUAGAACAGAAACUUCGAGCAUAUGUUACCCUGGCCAACCCCCAUGUUACCCCAUCUUAUCGCGAAUACGCCUACCGCGGAGGGGGGCACGGACAGCUGUAGAAAAUUUCUCAUUCCGCAAUGGGCGAAAGCCUGACGGAGCCCCAAGCCGCGUGGAGGUCGAAGGCCACGGGGUGUGAACUUCUUUUCCCGGAGAAUGAAGCAAUGACGAUUAUCGGGGAAUAGAGCAUCGGCUAACUCUGUGCGCAGCAGCCGCGGUAAGACAGAGGAUGGCAAGCGUUAUCCGAAAUGAUUGGCGUAAAGCGUCUGUAGGUGGCUUUAAGUCGCGUCAAAUCCCAGGGCUCAACGCCUGGACACGGCGUGGAAACUACCAAACUAGUAGGGUAGGGCAGAGGAAUUCCGGUGGACGGCGGUGAAAUGCGUAGAGAUCGGAGAAGCACCCAACGGCGAAAGCACUCUGCCCUGGGCGACAACCUGACACCUGAGAACGAAAGCUAUGGAGCGAAAUGGAUAGAUACCCCAGUAGUCCUGCCGUAAACGAUGGAGUCCUAGGCCGCUGUGCGUAUCGACCCGUCAGUGUUGAGGCUAAACGCAUUAAGUAUCGCCUGGGAGUACGUUCGCAGAAUGAAACUCAAAGGAAGUGACGGGGCCCGCACAAGCGGUGGACGCAUGCGUGGUUUAAUUCGAUGCCAAAGCGAAGAACCCUUACGCAGCGGCUUGACAUGCCGCGAUCCUCUUGAAAGAGAGGCGUGCGCCUUCGGGAACGGCGACACAGUGUGCAUGGCGUCGUCAGCUCGUGCCGUAAGGUGUUUGGUUAGAAGUCCCGCACGAGACCGCAACCCUCGUGUAGUUGCCACGUGAGUUUGGAACCUGACCAGACGCCGUGAUAAGCCGAGAAGGUGGAUGACGUCAAGUCAUCCAUGGCCCCUUAUGCCCUGGGCGACACACGUCGGGCUACCAAUGGCCAGGGACAAAGGCGCGAAAUCCGCGAGGGUGAGCAACCCGCAAAAACCCGUCCUCAAGUUCGGAUUGCAAGCUGCAACCCGCCUGCAUGAAAGGCCCGGAAAUCGAGAGUAAACCUAUUUUUAACCCUAAAAGAUUUCGCCCACGGUCAGCUAAUCACUAGGCUAUAUCCCUGCCGCCUCGACAUCAUUUCGCUCCCCUCGACGCGUUCGCCGUUCGCGCACAGUCU
RNAcentral lists this ribosomal RNA (1317 nucleotides) under Silene latifolia. RNAcentral's name for it is "bacterial SSU rRNA". It matches the Rfam family "Bacterial small subunit ribosomal RNA", at positions 200 to 1533 of the family's 1533-position model. The record is from RNAcentral. Lineage: Eukaryota; Viridiplantae; Streptophyta; Magnoliopsida; Caryophyllales; Caryophyllaceae.